This 152-nucleotide small nuclear RNA is filed under the name Melopsittacus undulatus (budgerigar). RNAcentral describes it as "U2 spliceosomal RNA (ENSMUNG00000019374.1)". The stretch from base 1 to 92 matches the Rfam family "U2 spliceosomal RNA". Rfam says of the family: U2 is a small nuclear RNA (snRNA) component of the spliceosome (involved in pre-mRNA splicing). Complementary binding between U2 snRNA (in an area lying towards the 5' end but 3' to hairpin I) and the branchpoint sequence (BPS) of the intron results the bulging out of an unpaired adenosine, on the BPS, which initiates a nucleophilic attack at the intronic 5' splice site, thus starting the first of two transesterification reactions that mediate splicing. Lineage: Eukaryota; Metazoa; Chordata; Aves; Psittaciformes; Psittaculidae. The record is from RNAcentral.
CUUGCUUCUCGGCCUUUUGGCUAAGAUCAAGUGUAGUAUCUGUUCUUAUCAGUUUAAAGUGAUUAGAAAAAGAGAUCUAUGAUCUACUCCACAGUCAGAGCAGUUGUCCUGGAAAUGCAUCUGUACAUAGAACUAUGUAUGAGAAAUUCCUU